CGGGUUGUAAAGCACUUUCAGUCGUGAGGAAGGUAGUGUAGUUAAUAGCUGCAUUAUUUGACGUUAGCGACAGAAGAAGCACCGGCUAACUCCGUGCCAGCAGCCGCGGUAAUACGGAGGGUGCGAGCGUUAAUCGGAAUUACUGGGCGUAAAGCGCAUGCAGGUGGUUUGUUAAGUCAGAUGUGAAAGCCCGGGGCUCAACCUCGGAAUUGCAUUUGAAACUGGCAGACUAGAGUACUGUAGAGGGGGGUAGAAUUUCAGGUGUAGCGGUGAAAUGCGUAGAGAUCUGAAGGAAUACCGGUGGCGAAGGCGGCCCCCUGGACAGAUACUGACACUCAGAUGCGAAAGCGUGGGGAGCAAACAGGAUUAGAUACCCUGGUAGUCCACGCCGUAAACGAUGUCUACUUGGAGGUUGUGGCCUUGAGCCGUGGCUUUCGGAGCUAACGCGUUAAGUAGACCGCCUGGGGAGUACGGUCGCAAGAUUAAAACUCAAAUGAAUUGACGGGGGCCCGCACAAGCGGUGGAGCAUGUGGUUUAAUUCGAUGCAACGCGAAGAACCUUACCUACUCUUGACAUCCAGAGAACUUUCCAGAGAUGGAUUGGUGCCUUCGGGAACUCUGAGACAGGUGCUGCAUGGCUGUCGUCAGCUCGUGUUGUGAAAUGUUGGGUUAAGUCCCGCAACGAGCGCAACCCUUAUCCUUGUUUGCCAGCGAGUAAUGUCGGGAACUCCAGGGAGACUGCCGGUGAUAAACCGGAGGAAGGUGGGGACGACGUCAAGUCAUCAUGGCCCUUACGAGUAGGGCUACACACGUGCU
RNAcentral lists this ribosomal RNA (815 nucleotides) under Vibrio parahaemolyticus. RNAcentral describes it as "bacterial SSU rRNA". It matches the Rfam family "Bacterial small subunit ribosomal RNA", at positions 419 to 1226 of the family's 1533-position model. The record is from RNAcentral. Lineage: Bacteria; Pseudomonadati; Pseudomonadota; Gammaproteobacteria; Vibrionales; Vibrionaceae.